UCGCCGGCCUCGCGCGCGUGCACGUCCCUCGCCGUCGCUCUUUCCGACCCUUCGAGGCUUUCGACCUUCUCAACACCUGUGCACCCGCUGUAGGUCCUUCGGGACCUACGUCUUUCUUCGAACCCGCAUGUCUACAGAACGUAUUCGUCGCGUCCCGGCCUCGACCCUCAGGGUCCCGCGUCGGCGACCGCAAAACCUAUGAUACAACUUUCAGCAACGGAUCUCUUGGCUCUCGCAUCGAUGAAGAACGCAGCGAAUCGCGAUAAGUAAUGUGAAUUGCAGAUUUUCCGUGAAUCAUCGAAUCUUUGAACGCACCUUGCGCUCCUUGGUAUUCCGAGGAGCAUGCCUGUUUGAGUGUCAUCGAAACCUCAGACCGACCCUUCGACCCCGUCGGAGCUCGGUCUGGACUUGUGGGAGUCUGCGGGCGAAGCGUGACUUCGUCGGCUCUCCUCAAAAGCAUUAGCCGUGGGUGGCGAGCCUGGCAUGGCACGGCCUCCUCGACGUCGUAAUGAUCGUCGUGGGCUGGAAGUGUACGGCUCGACGGACCCAUGCUUCGCAANNCUUGCGAGCCCGUCCCUCGCGGACGGCCGCGCCCCAUCGAAGCUUGACCU
RNAcentral lists this ribosomal RNA (611 nucleotides) under Scleroderma sp. 2015-1. Its description in RNAcentral is "eukaryotic LSU rRNA". The stretch from base 206 to 360 matches the Rfam family "5.8S ribosomal RNA". Lineage: Eukaryota; Fungi; Basidiomycota; Agaricomycetes; Boletales; Sclerodermataceae. The record is from RNAcentral.